This 72-nucleotide transfer RNA is filed under the name Ovis aries (sheep). It matches the Rfam family "tRNA". From Rfam's summary of the family: Transfer RNA (tRNA) molecules are approximately 80 nucleotides in length. Their secondary structure includes four short double-helical elements and three loops (D, anti-codon, and T loops). Further hydrogen bonds mediate the characteristic L-shaped molecular structure. tRNAs have two regions of fundamental functional importance: the anti-codon, which is responsible for specific mRNA codon recognition, and the 3' end, to which the tRNAs corresponding amino acid is attached (by aminoacyl-tRNA synthetases). tRNAs cope with the degeneracy of the genetic code in two manners: having more than one tRNA (with a specific anti-codon) for a particular amino acid; and 'wobble' base-pairing, i.e. permitting non-standard base-pairing at the 3rd anti-codon position. Lineage: Eukaryota; Metazoa; Chordata; Mammalia; Artiodactyla; Bovidae. The record is from Rfam by way of RNAcentral.
UCCCUUGUGUCUCAGUUGGUAAAGAAUCCACCUGCAAUGUGGGAGACCGGGGUUCGAUCCCUGGGUUGGGAA